UGUACCAGGAGGAGCUCAGGUCAUAUAACCAACUGCUUCAGACAUAGCAGGGAGAGCGCAUGGAGAGGUCUCUAUGCUGUAUCUCCAGAUAUAUCUGUAUUGGGGGAUAUAAAUACUAGUUAAAGACGACGCAGAGAACAGGACUUAAGUACAAGAGUCAUCAACUGAUACCUCAACAUCCGAGACCUCAUCUGAUACUGACUCCUCAUCUGUGCUUUCAGAGGACGUGGUAUUACCCGAUCUGUGGGGCGAUUUGGAUCAAUAUUUCCAAGAAGGGUUAUCGCCAUCAUCAUCGCCACAGGAUGACGCAACAGGGCAUGCCUCAGACGGUCAAAACAUUAUACAUUCUCUAGAGGCUGCCCGGUUAACUGGAAGAGAUCCAGGGAUGUGAUACCACAUCAAAAUUUUGAAGAACAACUGCCAUUUCACCGGGAGUCUGUCUCAACCGCUAAUCAACCGCUGAUGGCCGCGGAGAGGUCUAGGCCUCAACCAGCGGACAGAGAUCCAGGAUUCUCAUCGGGUCGCAACAACAGGAGAACCAGUUCUGAGAAUCCACACCUGAGAUCCCGCGGGGCUUCCAGCGAAGGAUUUCCAUCGGCAUGCUCAAACAGACCCAGGUCCAGACCAUCCAGGUGUCCUCUGUGCUGCAGAACUACACGCCAGCAAUUGGAUCUGAUGUCUAGAGCGUUUUGGCUCAUCUGUCAGAAGUUAGGUGUACAAAGUGACAAUUUGUAAACUGUUUCAGACUGAUUUUUAUGAUCUGUAUAAAUUGCAAUGAUGUUGA
Molecule: long non-coding RNA, 784 nt
Organism: Siniperca chuatsi (mandarin fish)
Lineage: Eukaryota; Metazoa; Chordata; Actinopteri; Centrarchiformes; Sinipercidae
Exons: 4
Source: RefSeq, a predicted model, not a curated record